Molecule: ribosomal RNA, 451 nt
Filed under: Coronocyclus coronatus
Lineage: Eukaryota; Metazoa; Nematoda; Chromadorea; Rhabditida; Strongylidae
Description: eukaryotic LSU rRNA
Rfam family: Eukaryotic large subunit ribosomal RNA
Source: RNAcentral
GAGCUGGGUUUAGACCGUCGUGAGACAGGUUAGUUUUACCCUACUGUUGACUAAUUGUUGCGAUAGUAAUCCUGCUUAGUACGAGAGGAACAGCAGGUUUAGACAUUUGGUUCAUGGACUUGACCGAUCGGUCAAUGGUCCGAAGCUAACAUCUAGGGGAUUAUGACUGAACGCCUCUAAGUCAGAAUCCAACCUAGUCAAGGUAGUAAUAACUUUGUUUCCCGGUGUCGGGAGGCAACUCUAUCUCGUGGUAACGCGAGAGCUUAUGCCCCAGUAAAUGGCCUUGCCGGUAUGGAUAAUCCCUGCUGGUUGCUAAAGCCAGAUCACUCUGGUUCAAUGUCGGGGCGCAAAAUCACAUGUCUACGACAUGUAUACUGGUCARGGUGUUGUAUCCAGUAGAGCAGUGUUUGUAUACUGCGAUCUGUUGAGACUAUCCUAUGAUCGGGUGUUU